GCCUCCUCAACCGCCGUACAA
RNAcentral lists this non-coding RNA (21 nucleotides) under Arabidopsis thaliana (thale cress). The record is from RNAcentral. Lineage: Eukaryota; Viridiplantae; Streptophyta; Magnoliopsida; Brassicales; Brassicaceae.